RNAcentral lists this transfer RNA (86 nucleotides) under Myxococcaceae bacterium. Its description in RNAcentral is "tRNA-Phe". It matches the Rfam family "tRNA". Rfam says of the family: Transfer RNA (tRNA) molecules are approximately 80 nucleotides in length. Their secondary structure includes four short double-helical elements and three loops (D, anti-codon, and T loops). Further hydrogen bonds mediate the characteristic L-shaped molecular structure. tRNAs have two regions of fundamental functional importance: the anti-codon, which is responsible for specific mRNA codon recognition, and the 3' end, to which the tRNAs corresponding amino acid is attached (by aminoacyl-tRNA synthetases). tRNAs cope with the degeneracy of the genetic code in two manners: having more than one tRNA (with a specific anti-codon) for a particular amino acid; and 'wobble' base-pairing, i.e. permitting non-standard base-pairing at the 3rd anti-codon position. The record is from RNAcentral. Lineage: Bacteria; Pseudomonadati; Myxococcota; Myxococcia; Myxococcales; Myxococcaceae.
AGGGUUGGUUCGAGUGGCUGAAGACGGCCGUCUGAAAAACGGCAAGCCCUGAAAGGGGCUCGCGAGUUCGAAUCUCGCACCCUCCA